UAGAGUUUGAUCCUGGCUCAGGAUGAACGCUAGCUACAGGCUUAACACAUGCAAGUCGAGGGGAAACGAUAGAGAAAGCUUGCUUUUUCUAGGCGUCGACCGGCGCACGGGUGAGUAACGCGUAUCCAACCUGCCCACCACUUGGGAAUAACCUUGCGAAAGUAAGACUAAUACCCAAUGAUAUCUCUAGAAGACAUCUGAAAGAGAUUAAAGAUUUAUCGGUGAUGGAUGGGGAUGCGUCUGAUUAGCUUGUUGGCGGGGUAACGGCCCACCAAGGCGACGAUCAGUAGGGGUUCUGAGAGGAAGGUCCCCCACAUUGGAACUGAGACACGGUCCAAACUCCUACGGGAGGCAGCAGUGAGGAAUAUUGGUCAAUGGGCGAGAGCCUGAACCAGCCAAGUAGCGUGCAGGAUGACGGCCCUAUGGGUUGUAAACUGCUUUUAUAAGGGAAUAAAGUGAGCCUCGUGAGACUUUUUGCAUGUACCUUAUGAAUAAGGACCGGCUAAUUCCGUGCCAGCAGCCGCGGUAAUACGGAAGGUCCGGGCGUUAUCCGGAUUUAUUGGGUUUAAAGGGAGCGUAGGCCGGAGAUUAAGCGUGUUGUGAAAUGUAGACGCUCAACGUCUGCACUGCAGCGCGAACUGGUUUCCUUGAGUACGCACAAAGUGGGCGGAAUUCGUGGUGUAGCGGUGAAAUGCUUAGAUAUCACGAAGAACUCCGAUUGCGAAGGCAGCUCACUGGAGCGCAACUGACGCUGAAGCUCGAAAGUGCGGGUAUCGAACAGGAUUAGAUACCCUGGUAGUCCGCACGGUAAACGAUGGAUGCCCGCUGUUGGUCUGAAUAGGUCAGCGGCCAAGCGAAAGCAUUAAGCAUCCCACCUGGGGAGUACGCCGGCAACGGUGAAA
Molecule: ribosomal RNA, 902 nt
Filed under: uncultured bacterium
Lineage: Bacteria
Description: bacterial SSU rRNA
Rfam family: Bacterial small subunit ribosomal RNA
Source: RNAcentral